Molecule: ribosomal RNA, 755 nt
Filed under: uncultured bacterium
Lineage: Bacteria
Description: bacterial SSU rRNA
Rfam family: Bacterial small subunit ribosomal RNA
Source: RNAcentral
GUCGAACGAACCCGCAAGGGUGAGUGGCGAAAGGGUUAGUAAUACGAUCGAACGUACCCCGAGGUGGAGGAUAGCGGCGGGAAACUGCCGGUAAUACUCCAUGAUGUCUUCGGACCAAAGUUUUGGCGCCUUGGGAGCGGCGAUCGUCCUAUCAGGUAGUUGGCGGGGUAAUGGCCCACCAAGCCUUAGACGGGUAGCGGGUGUGAGAGCACGGCCCGCAACAUCGGAACUGAGACACUGUCCGGACUCCUACGGGAGGCUGCAGUAACGAAUCUUCCGCAAUGGGCGCAAGCCUGACGGAGCAAUGCCGCGUGCGGGAUGAAGUAUCUCUGGUAUGUAAACCGCUGUCAGGGGACGGAAACAAUGAUUGUCCCCAGAGGAAGUGGCGACUAACUCUGUGCCAGCAGUUGCGGUAAUACAGAGGCCACGAGCAUUAGUCGGAAUCACUGGGCUUAAAGGGUGCGUAGGUGGCUUGCCAAGUGCUUUGUGAAAUCCCACGGCUCAACCGUGGAACAGCAGGGCAUACUGGCAGGCUUGAGGCAAGUAGGGGCUGACGGAACAGUAGGUGGAGCGGUGAAAUGCGUAGAUAUCUACUGGAACGCCGAUGGUGAAGACGGUCAGCUGGGCUUGUCCUGACACUGAGGCACGAAAGCGUGGGGAGCAAACAGGAUUAGAUACCCUGGUAGUCCACGCCGUAAACGAUGCGCACUAGACCGGUGCGGUUUUGACGCCGUAUCGGUCGUAGUAAAAACGAU